UUCUUCCGUUUUCCGCUUUUGUACAUUCCGGUUUGCUUGGUUGCCCUUCUGACUCGGUGUUAAACCUUCCAUUUGUUCAAGUGAUUUUGUAUGACUAACUAUUAGAGGGAGCUUCUUCCGGAUUCUGGCGCUCGUGCUUUGUGCGGUGGAACAGAGUAAAAUUAUUUCGGUGCCGGUGCUGCGAAUCAAAUCAUGUCGAAGCCGAAUGUUCUAGUUCUUGGAGGAUGUGGAUUCAUCGGACGACACUUGGUGCACUAUCUGGUAACGAAUGAUCUCGCCGGACGCAUAAAGGUGGUCGACAAAACGCCUCCUCUGAUGGCAUGGCUCAAUCGUGCGCACAGCGUAGCAUUCGCCGACGAACGGGUCGAAUUCACGAGUGCCAAUCUCAUCAAUCCCGCCUCUUGCCAGAAUGCGUUCCGGAUGACCGAACCGGUGACCAUGACGACGACGACGACGACGGCUGUGGGAACGGGAUGGGAUUUUGUGAUAAACUGUGCGGCUGAGACGAAACCCGGCCAAACGGAUCCAGUGUACGAGGAGGGCAUUCUUAAGCUGAGCGUAAACUGCGCCACAGAAGCGAUCAAAACGGGGGCCAAACGGUACGUUGAGCUCAGUACCGCUAGCAUGUACUCGGACGAAAAGGUCCCGCAGAAGGAGGACUGCCCGGUAGAACCGUGGACGAUGGUUGGCAAAUACAAGGCCAAGGUGGAACGAGAGCUGAUCGCGAUGGAGGAGCUACCCUACACCAUACUUCGGAUUCCGAUUUGCUACGGUGUAGGCGAUCGGAAGGGACUGACUCCUCGGCUUAUAAUUGCCGGCAUUUACAAACAUCUCGGCGAAACCAUGAAGCUACUGUGGACCGGUACGAUGAAGAUGAACGUGGUACACGUCGAGGACGUGUGCGGUAGUAUCUGGGAGCUGCUGCAAACCGAUCGCAGCAUCCGGGAGAUCGUUAACGUGUGUGACGAUAGCGAUGCAACGCAGGCAACGAUCAGUGAGCUGUUGGCGGACAUUUUCGGCAUCGAGAUCGAUUACUGGGGCAUUACGAUGUCGAACAUGACGAAGCUCGACAUGGCCGGUGCGAUCGAGGAGAUCAACGAUCGUCACCUGGGACCGUGGGCUGAUGUGUGUACCCGGGACGGUGUGCUCAACACGCCGCUCACACCGUACAUGGAUCAGGAGCUGUUGCUUCACAAGCAUGUGCACCUGAGCAACGAGAAGCUGAAAUCGUACGGCUAUCAACUCCGCCGUCCGCGUAUAACGCGUGAAUCGUUGGAGGAAAUAGUGAAGGAUUUUAUUGGAAUGAACCACUUUCCGCGCACUUUACUCUACUGAUCUGCUCGAGCACGAUAGACUCGGAAGAGGAAGAGGGCCAUCGCAAGCCGUUCUUAUUGCUCAUUACUCUAUAUUUAAUCGAUCACAGAACUGAAGUUAAUACGAUUGGUCUUAAAAAAAUACUUAAAAAACAAAACAGAAGAUCUCGGAGGAGAACGAAGUAUAAGGACAGCGGCUUUUGCUGUUGUACGACGGGUGCCCCAUUAGGAGAAAAAAAAUCAACGAACGCCUAGCGUUGCACACAAAAAAAGGGAGAUUAGUCUUGAAAGAAUCAUACAAGCAAUGUUGGUCGUGCACUAGAUAAGAUAGCUAAUUGAAUUUGUUGAAGCACCACAAUCGGGAUGAAGGCAGGGAAGUAGACAGUUGUGUUAAAAGUUGGCUGGUCAAAAGCAUUACGUUACUUACUCUGUGAUCGUUCGAAUUACUGAUGGUCAGUUCGCCGUCGUGGCAGUUUGCGUUCACCAUUCCAUUUGGUGUUUUGUGCCGUGUUACAUUGUGAUUGAAAAAGACGACGAAUCCGAUCAACAUCGAUCCGGAAGCACUCCACUAUGGUAGAGGGACAGGGUAUAUUUUAUGCAUUUGAACGGGAGGAAAUACGUUGGGCAAAGAUCAGAGAAACAUACAUAUAAUAAUGUGCCUCUAUACAAUAGAAAGUGAUGCAAAUAGUGAUUAGGCGCACCACGCCGACGAUUAUCAAGCCGCUGGUGCUAAUAGUGGUAAAAUUGCCGAAGGCAGAAGACAGAACGGGACUGCCGGUGAUGCUGUAACAGCUGAUUGUUCUUCAGCAGAGGACGAGUCCGGAGUAACGAAUCCGCGCACUGUGCCUUUUCGGUGAAGCCGAGACCAUGGCGAAAAAUAGAAUUCAUCUUUAUUAAUAGUUCAAGGUAUCCGUUCAUGCCUGACCUGAUCUCUGGCGCCUUCGUUUCACUCCAACCACUCUACCACGUGUACGUGUGGGAGGCACACGCCGUGUUCUCUGUCCUGAUUGAAGGACUGC
Molecule: RNA transcript, 2332 nt
Organism: Anopheles darlingi
Lineage: Eukaryota; Metazoa; Arthropoda; Insecta; Diptera; Culicidae
Exons: 4
Source: RefSeq, a predicted model, not a curated record